RNAcentral lists this long non-coding RNA (770 nucleotides) under Homo sapiens (human). RNAcentral describes it as "HSALNT0012570". Lineage: Eukaryota; Metazoa; Chordata; Mammalia; Primates; Hominidae. The record is from RNAcentral.
CAAGUUUCAGCCAUAUGCCAAGGGUUGCCAGAAGACAGACAGAAUCAGCAGUUCCAAGUCCUUCCCACCUCUCAGCUGUGAAUAGAAGUGAUAACCCUUCCCACUAAGAAAUGCAAAGAAGCACACGUGCCCCAUAAUCUGAAGACUUAUGGAAACACUGUGAGAUAGAGAUCCCUGAAGAGCCCCCCAUAUAAAGAACUGUAGAGCUGCACUGACCAGUAGGAUGCUCCAUUUUAAAUUGCCUGGAUCAAGAAUGCAGUAGCAGUUAUAUCACUGAUGGGCAGUGAUCCAUCUGCCAGCACAUAUUUUUAUUUCAGUUGACAUUAAAUAAUAUGUCUCUAACAAAUGCUUUAUAUAAAGGGAACAACUCUGAAGUUGGAGGAUUCGCUUCAUAAUGCGUGCAUAUAAAAGACAUUUCAUCAAGAGAUGAAGAAUGCUAAAAAUAUUAAGGUAUCAUUGCAACCUUUUGACAUUUUGAUGAAAUCGAAUCAUCCAAAAACUAUAAUCAGUGCUGCAGAAAGAAAGCCUAAAAUUUGUUUCUAGCAAGCCAACUAUUACUGUUUUUUGUGUUUUUUUUUUCAAUUAAGUAGUGGACUGUGUUUAAUCAUGAGAUAUAGUCGUGUUAUAUUCCAUGUUCUGGGUUAUGUGCAACUUUAUUUGUGAAGGUGUGUUUUGUACCAAAGGCUCUCAUACAUAGAUUAGCCCAUUUACAUAUAAAUAAGUGAAGUCUACACUGUGCCCAAAUGAAUGGUAUUAAAGACAGACUUGCC